UGAGGAAUAUUGGUCAAUGGGCGCAAGCCUGAACCAGCCAUCCCGCGUGAAGGACGACGGCCCUAUGGGUUGUAAACUUCUUUUGUACGGGAAGCACGUGCGCUAUGUAUAGCGUAUUGACGGUACCGUACGAAUAAGCAUCGGCUAACUCCGUGCCAGCAGCCGCGGUAAUACGGAGGAUGCGAGCGUUAUCCGGAUUCAUUGGGUUUAAAGGGUGCGUAGGCGGCCCGGUAAGUCAGCGGUGAAAGUUUGCGGCUCAACCGUAAAAUUGCCGUUGAUACUGUCGGGCUUGAGUUCAGAUGAAGUGGGCGGAAUGAGUAGUGUAGCGGUGAAAUGCUUAGAUAUUACUCAGAACACCGAUUGCGAAGGCAGCCCACUAAACUGCGACUGACGCUGAUGCACGAAAGCGUGGGGAUCGAACAGG
RNAcentral lists this ribosomal RNA (424 nucleotides) under uncultured bacterium. Its description in RNAcentral is "bacterial SSU rRNA". It matches the Rfam family "Bacterial small subunit ribosomal RNA", at positions 355 to 776 of the family's 1533-position model. The record is from RNAcentral.